RNAcentral lists this long non-coding RNA (1077 nucleotides) under Macaca mulatta (Rhesus monkey). RNAcentral's name for it is "lncRNA (ENSMMUG00000045265.2)". The record is from RNAcentral. Lineage: Eukaryota; Metazoa; Chordata; Mammalia; Primates; Cercopithecidae.
CAUUUCUUUUAUUCUGUUACAGGCAGUCUGGGAAGCAUUCUGGACAUGUGGCCUGCGCUGUCACAGUUCCUCCUUGCAGGAUCGCAGAUGUUUGGAGAUUGUAGUGAUAACUGUUAUCAUUGAGAAUGUCAUUCUCGCAGGCUCUAGUAAGUCAGGAUUUAUUCAGUGUUAAUUUGUUAAAGACAACUGUAUUUCUAGCCAAAUCCAUGUGAGCUGUUUCUCCUUGGAGAGUUGCUGGGGGUAUUCCCGUGGCUUAGUCUUAGGGAAACACACACCUUUGAAUACUGCUGAAGCUGUGGGGACCCAAAGUGCACCGGAGUACUUUUGCCAUAUGUGGUGUUAGUCACUGAUACAUGUCUCAGUCAGACCUGAUGGAUUCUUGACCCCUUCCUUUUUCACUUUUUUACUUUUUAUUUUUUGUUUUUGUUUUUUAAAAGCACAACCCCUCAGGUGGCUACCGUGAAUCUCUGGUGUUUUCAGUUGGUUGCAGCUUAUUUGCCGUCUCAGGUUCAAAGAUAUUCGGAGCCUGCUGAUGCUUCCCUCGGUUGUUGUUCUGUUGUGUGACCUCCGCGCCCGCAGGGUUCAAGACUGUCAGAGCUGGGAGCCACCUUCACAACUACCAGGGUUUCCGGAACCUCCUUUAUCUAGCCCUGGGGAUGGAAGAGAUGUCAUCAGAGGCGGAGGCGUACUAGGUUUACGUGCCAUUGACUCAGUAGAGGAAGCUGAGACCAAGCAGCCGCAGGAACGAGGUGGGUUUUGCCGGUGGCUCAGGCUUCCUCUGGUUGAGUUGGGCCUUGGAGUAAUGCUGGGGGAAGUCACAGAGCUGAGUACGGUGGGCAUUGGAUCCGGCUGUCACCCCUCUGCGGUGUGGGCUGGGGGCUUGGGGGACGUCACCUGAGGUGGGCCUGAACCUCCCGUCUACUCUGGCACUGGUGGCUGUGGGGUCCCACACUUCUUCCAGUGAACAUGCUGGCCCCCGCCUGGUCCCCGAGCGAGGUGGGGCAUCCUUUCCACUGCUGGGGCCCACGUGUAGCUGUGGGUUCCUUUCUCAUGACCUGGAGAAGCUGCAGCUCGCCC